UGAACGCUAGCGACAGGCCUAACACAUGCAAGUCAGGGGCAGCGCGGGAGAAGCUUGCUUUCCUGGCGGCGACCGGCGCACGGGUGCGUAACAGGUGUGCAAUCUGUCCAUAGUCGGGGGAUAGCCCAGCGAAAGCUGAAUUAACACUCCAUGUGAAUCGAAGCCGCAUGACUUUGAUUUGAAACGCAAGGACUAUGGGUGAGCACGCUUCUGAUUAGCUAGUUGGUGGGGUAACGGCUCACCAAGGCGACGAUCAGUAGGGGUUCUGAGAGGAAGGUCCCCCACAUUGGAACUGAGACACGGUCCAAACUCCUACGGGAGGCAGCAGUGAGGAAUAUUGGUCAAUGGGCGAGAGCCUGAACCAGCCAAGUCGCGUGAAAAGGAUGAAGGUUCUAUGGAUUGUAAACUUCUUUUGUCCGAGGGUAAAAAAGGCCACGUGUGGCUUCUUGCAAGUAUCGGACGAAUAAGCAUCGGCUAACUCCGUGCCAGCAGCCGC
RNAcentral lists this ribosomal RNA (496 nucleotides) under uncultured bacterium. Its description in RNAcentral is "bacterial SSU rRNA". It matches the Rfam family "Bacterial small subunit ribosomal RNA", at positions 30 to 518 of the family's 1533-position model. The record is from RNAcentral.